RNAcentral lists this ribosomal RNA (125 nucleotides) under Ophiostomataceae sp. RNAcentral's name for it is "partial small subunit ribosomal RNA". It matches the Rfam family "Eukaryotic small subunit ribosomal RNA", at positions 1657 to 1779 of the family's 1831-position model. The record is from RNAcentral. Lineage: Eukaryota; Fungi; Ascomycota; Sordariomycetes; Ophiostomatales; Ophiostomataceae.
CCUUUGUACACACCGCCCGUCGCUACUACCGAUUGAAUGGCUCAGUGAGGCUUCCGGACUGGCCCAGAGGGGUGGGCAACUACCCUUCCGGGCCGGAAAGUUAUCCAAACUCGGUCAUUUAGAGG